UUUCUAUUCUAUUUCUGUUACCAGAGUUUUCUCUGGGGCAGGCUCCCCUUUCUUCCCACACCAGCAAGUAGGCUCUCUCUGCCUCUUGGCCUCUGGGGCCCAGCACCUCUCAAUUGUCAGACUCCUCCCUCCUGCAUGGGGCUCCCUCCCAGAGGGGCAGUGGAGGUCAUGGUCAUAGCCAGGAACGGGAUGAUUGCAGGGAGAGCUCCCCUAGGAGGCAGAGAGAAAGCAGGAGAAAGCAGCAGCCUUUCUUCUUCAUCCCCCCUUGGGGAGCUAAUUACAGGCCAGCAGCCCACUGCACAGGGCAUAACGGUGGCAUCAGUCAAGAAGACUCCAGGCUGCACUUGAACUUAGCCCAAAGCGAGAAGCGAUGAGACUCCAGGCUGAACCACCUUCACCAUAGAAACGCUUGCAGAAUAUCUCUGGCCCCACCCUUCGAAGGCAGGGUAUGGGGACACAGCUUCCCUUGCUGGUGAAACCUCAGGGAGGACUUUCAACAGAUGGCGUGCAAGAUAAGAGGCACCUAAGACGGCUCAGGAGGCCACAGCUGGAGAUCCAAGGAAGGAGAACGACCAGGGUAACCUAUAAGAGCUGGUUUCAGCCCAGGAUGUCUUCGCCCCAGCCUUCACCCCUACCAGCCUUCCUCUGCUCCUACUCGGAUUUCCUACCUCCUUCCUCAAGGAGGAAUUAAGAAUGGUAACACUAACUCUUAUUGUGGGCUCAGCAUGUGCUGGAACUGUGGUAAACCAGUUCUUUCCAUGUAUCAUCUCUUUUAAUCUUCUCCACAAUAUGACAAAAUAGGUAAUACUAAUAAUGCCAUUUCAUAGAUGAGGAAACUGAGCCCCAGAGAGGGUAGGGUCACAUGGCAGGCAAGUGACAAAACUAGGACUGAAACAAGUGAGUCAAGUCUACACUUUUGAUCAGUGCGGUCCCCAUCAGUCUUCCCACUCGGAGGUAUUCCUUCCAACCCCAUCACCAUGGCCUACAUGGGAAGAAAAGUCCUCUGCUCUCCUUCGUCCCCACCCAGGGCUGGGUUCCCAGUCUCCCAGCCCAUCAUCACCUUUUCCUCAGCCCGUGGACGAUUCCAGCUCUAUUCAGCUGGUGUGCACUGAAGACCAACUCUGUGUUAGGUGCUGCACUGGGCACUGGGGUGCUGAGAAGGAGUGAGCUGCCCCCUUGGGGUCCCCAGCCCCCCCCGGGAAGACAACUGUACACAACUAACUCAAAUGCAGGGCAGAAUGAGCUCAGGGCUGGGACAGAGCAUAAAUAAAGUAUGUCAGGGCUCUGAGCAGGGAGGGAUAGAGUCCGAGGAGGGCCACACGGAGACGAUGGCCUCCCUCCCUAACCCCCAGCUCUGGCAGAGGGGACUGCACUCAGGCCCCUGGCCAGGAUGAGAGCCGAGUUCAGGAAACACAUCAGGGAUGGCCUGGCCAGGCUCACCCCCCCUCCCCUACCUCCCACCCUGAGCAGGGAAUAAAGGCCCCUUGAGGA
Long non-coding RNA from Mustela erminea (ermine), 1491 nucleotides. RefSeq lists it as uncharacterized. NCBI's taxonomy places the organism in Eukaryota, Metazoa, Chordata, Mammalia, Carnivora, Mustelidae. The record is from RefSeq and is a predicted model, not a curated record. The transcript has 3 exons.